RNAcentral lists this long non-coding RNA (495 nucleotides) under Sorghum bicolor (sorghum). Its description in RNAcentral is "long non-coding RNA (SBIC_LNC013920)". The record is from RNAcentral. Lineage: Eukaryota; Viridiplantae; Streptophyta; Magnoliopsida; Poales; Poaceae.
CUCAGAAGAGCAAAGUAGAAUUAGACUUUCACCACCAUUGUUUUCACCAUUGUUUUCACCAUUGUUAUCACCAUCAUCACCAUAUACCAUUCAUUCGCCACACAUGCACAUCUUGAUUAAACUUAUUGACUUGUUACUUUGGAUCCAUGGUUUGACUAUGCAAUACAUGUCUUGUAAGUAUGUAUACUUUAUCUCCCACCUAUGAGCUCCAGAUAUUAAAGCCUUAUUAGAGUAGGAUGAGAGAGAAGGCAAUGUUACUAUGCCUCAUACCACAAAUACCACAUAUCUUGAGAGAAGGCAUAUACCAUCAAUGCCUUGGUAAGGAUCCAAAAAUACCACAAAAGAGAGACCUGAGAGAAUCAUACAAGGAAUUCUGAGUUUUAUUUGAAAAUCUGCAAAACCCCCAGAGCUAUAGCUGAUCAAGAAUAAGAGACAUGGCACUUGGCUAGACUGUUCUAUCUUUUAACCACUCAAGACAGAAGUGACAGUUACAAG